GUUUCCUCUUCUCUGCUGUAUUUUAUGAGAAAAAGGAUAAGUAGAGCACUGACUUUUCUUGUUGAGCGCCAAAAUAGGCAAUGCUGAGUUGUUUGUUUAUUUGUUGACUGGCGUAUAGUACUUAGUUCCACUAGAGUCAAGAUUAUGCGUGUUAAAACAAUAAGAAACUUACGCUAACUAAAUGUCCAGUUUCUUCAUACGAGCAAGGAUGUGAUAGGAGACACACCAAAUAAUGUAUUUAUUAUUUGUUUCAUUCCCUCUUGAGAAAUGCUUCAUUUUUGUCAAAUUAGUUUUGUUAGUUAUGGUUGCGGUGUUUCCAAUGAAAUAUCACUGUCCCGGCCGGGUGGUUCAUGAAGCUCGAGCACAGAAUGGCCAAGAAGUUGCUGUGAAAGUUUCAGUUGUUGAAGAAAGCAUAUAUCAAGUAUCAACUCUUAUAGGUGGUUUGUUGAUCGCCUUUCUCUAAAUUUCAUAGGUCAAAAAGCAGAUGUGCAACCAUGUACAAGUUUUUAGAGGACCAUGAUAAACUUGUUCAGAUAAAACUUACCAAAAGUUGUGACAAUUAUGACAGUAACUGUCGAUCAGUUCACAAGUCACACCCCUCGAGUUGACAAACUCGCCCCCUUUCCUACGGACACGACCGUCAGUAACUCUAUUAACUGUUUAUCAGUACCAUUGAUUAACUUACCAACAGUGUAAACCAACUGUAAAAUGAAUCUUUUAUAGGUUAAUGCUGGCAACCUAUAUAAAUGAGACGUACCCCCACACAUCUUCUAUUCAAUCUGUUUUUUUUGGUACAUCUUCUAUUCAAUCUUUCUUUCCAAUUCUUUAAUAUUUGUUUUUAGUUUUUAAUUUUUAUUUACUUUUAGAUUUUUUUCCCUUUAUUUUGUAGUAUAAGUAUUUGCGUUUUGAAGGGCAUCUCUAUACCGUCUUGCACGUCAUCGGAUUAGCAUGACUAUGUUUAUUCAUAUACAUAUAUUGUGGGCGUGUAUAAUUAUUUGAAAGUAAUAUUUGUUUAGCAUGUAAGACUAAAAUUGUAUGUAAUUAAUUAAGUUGUUGUUGGGGAGACAGAGGAGUCCAUGGGUCGAGGAGCAAGAUACUAAGAGAUAUCG
Long non-coding RNA from Lotus japonicus, 1109 nucleotides. RefSeq lists it as uncharacterized. The transcript is spliced from 3 exons. The record is from RefSeq and is a predicted model, not a curated record. Lineage: Eukaryota; Viridiplantae; Streptophyta; Magnoliopsida; Fabales; Fabaceae.